This 253-nucleotide ribosomal RNA is filed under the name uncultured bacterium. RNAcentral's name for it is "partial 16S ribosomal RNA". It matches the Rfam family "Bacterial small subunit ribosomal RNA", at positions 524 to 776 of the family's 1533-position model. The record is from RNAcentral.
UACGUAGGGGGCAAGCGUUGUCCGGAAUCAUUGGGCGUAAAGAGCGUGUAGGCGGCCCGAUAAGUCCGCUGUGAAAGUCCAGGGCUCAACCCUGGGAUGCCGGUGGAUACUGUCGGGCUCGAGUCCGGAAGAGGAGUGUGGAAUUCCUGGUGUAGCGGUGAAAUGCGCAGAUAUCAGGAGGAACACCUAUUGCGAAGGCAGCUCGCUGGGACGUCACUGACGCUGAGGAGCGAAAGCGUGGGGAGCGAACAGG